CUCCAAGCCCUGUCCAGCCCGGCCUUGGACACUUCCAGGGAUCCAGGGGCAGCCACAGCUUCUCUGGGCACCCUGUGCCAGGGCCUGCCCACCCUCCCAGGGAACAAUUCCUUCCUGAUCUCUAAACUAAGCCUCUCCUAAUUUAAAACCAUUCCGUCUGCCAUUCCCAGGACCGUUCCUCAUGCUCAGGUCUAUGAAUUAAAUCUCUCUUUAUUGAAUCAUAGAACUGUGGAGUGUUUGCUGUUGGGGGUGGGGAACCUUAGAGAACAUCCAGUUCCAGCCCCUUGCCAUGGGCAGGGACACCUUCCACUAAAUCAGGUCACUCAGAUCCUUACCCAGCUUGGUACUGAACAUCUCCAGGGAUAGGGAGCCCACCAAGACAGGGAUGGGAACUUCUCAGAGGAACAGGAAUUCUUUCCUCUCUUAAGGUUACAAUAUUACAGGUGCUGCAGAGUGAUUAGUCAAGACUGCACAAUCUCUGCUGGUGGUGGAAGGACAAUUAAGAACUUUUUGGGUCAAGAAGAUCCUGGGAAAGGCUGUAAUUGUGGCUGAUUAGAAGGCGAGCAUCUAAACACCCAUCCCCAUGGAGAAAAGAAUGGCUCAAAGCACGAGGUGGAAUGAAAAGAGAAGCCAGCAGAGCCUGAAGAAUUUGGAUUUUCAGCAGGCUGAGUUUCUGACAAAAAGGAGCAUCAUCCUGAGAUUGCCCUCAGCAGAAACCUCUGCACACCCAACAGCAUUUAGUCCAAGAGAUGACCACUUGUGGAAGGUUUG
This 771-nucleotide long non-coding RNA is filed under the name Parus major (Great Tit). RNAcentral describes it as "lncRNA (ENSPMJG00000013046.1)". The record is from RNAcentral. Lineage: Eukaryota; Metazoa; Chordata; Aves; Passeriformes; Paridae.